Non-coding RNA from Caerostris darwini, 110 nucleotides. NCBI's taxonomy places the organism in Eukaryota, Metazoa, Arthropoda, Arachnida, Araneae, Araneidae. The record is from the annotation of a GenBank genome assembly.
AUGGCCAUACCAUGCUGAAUAUACCGGUUCUCGUUAGAUCACCGAAGUCAAGCAUCAUUGGGCGCGGUCAGUACUUGGGUGGGUGACCACCUGGGAACACCGCGUGCCGU